RNAcentral lists this ribosomal RNA (206 nucleotides) under uncultured bacterium. RNAcentral describes it as "partial 16S ribosomal RNA". It matches the Rfam family "Bacterial small subunit ribosomal RNA", at positions 524 to 728 of the family's 1533-position model. The record is from RNAcentral.
UACGGGGGGAGCAAGCGUUGUUCGGAUUUACUGGGCGUAAAGGGCGCGUAGGCGGCGUGACAAGUCACUUGUGAAAAUCUCCGGGCUUAACCCGGAGCGGCCAAGUGAUACUGUCGUGCUAGAGUGCGGAAGGGGCUACUGGAAUUCUCGGUGUAGCGGUGAAAUGCGUAGAGUAUCGAGAGGAACACCUGCGGCGAAGCGGGUAG